AGUCUGAUGCAUCCGGUGACUUUUUCUGUUUAAACUGAACAUGCUAUGUUUUCAGGGCAAGUCUCAUCAAACGGGAAACAGCUUGCUCAAGCACCGGAAAGGAAACUGAGAUUUGAUAUACUGUGUUAGUAUGCGGACAAAGGGGCCACAUGCAAUGUGACUGUCGUUCCAAGGGGGGCGCAAUUUUAAUCCAAGGGCGCCAUCACAUAGACAGUCAAUGCAACAGCCACAGCAAGUGCAUCAGAAACUAUCUGACAGUAAUUUCCAGACAAACUGGCAUAACAAAAAAAAAAACAAUGAAGAAGUCCACAUUUAUUUGAUAUUUGAUAAUGAUAAUGAAAGUUAACUUAACUUAAAUUUAAUGGUAAAAUGCAUAUAUUUCUCUUGGAUACUGAAGUAUUAUUAAUGUCUUCAUCUGAAUAUGAGGGACCAACUACUGAUAAAUUUGCUCUUUGGGUAGUCCAGAAACUGUAAUGUUCCGUCCCAUUACACCACCUCUGGAGGUAAGCUCCAGGUGUCAAGCCAUUUUUUCACAAAUUUCACAUCAUACCAGAUGGUUGUCUUAAUUUGCUCGGGCGAGACAUAAUGCAUAACUUAAAUAUGGAACAUCAAAUUUCAUGAUUCUCAUGUUGUUUUCUCUUUUAUGUCAUGUUUACAGACAUACAUUGAUCCUCUGCCUAUGGGGGAGGAAGUGAGAAGGCCGACCAAGACCCAGUGACCGCCCGCAUACCACAGAAUGUAGACACUUUGAUUAACUCAUGCCUAUGGUCUCAGUCAAACAAUGAUACAGGUUUCAUUGAUAUGAAACCAUACAAAGUUAAAACUUAAAACCUGUGUACAUUACACAAUAUCCUUUGUCAAAAGAAAAGGAAGAUGGCAUUAAACCUAUUAUUUACAAUUUUGUUUACCAAGGUGUCUUCAUACAAACACGCCAAACAACACACCGAUUAACCCGGUGGUGAAUGCUGAUGAAAAGACAUUAUGUCUUACACAAGAAUUAAGAGCAAUCAUUAAACUGAUAAUUCCUCUGUCUCCAAUUGUUCCAGAUGUGCCGACUGUCAUAAAUUUUAUACCAUGCACACAUAAGUAUUUCUGUCAUUUAUUUGUGUGCUGCUUUUGUCUCUCUGUUCCAGUGCAUCCAGACGCACAGCCACUGCUAGCCUUAUAGGAUAGGGGGCGCAAAUACUAAGAAGGGUAUGCUGAAUCACCAUCCGUCCUCUCCGCUGCGGUGAAAAAGACAUUGAAAAAAAAAGAUCGACUUGCUGUCUUCAGUUUGCAUUCUGCAGUAUGCUGAUGACAUCAUGGCCUCUGCUCUGACUGAAAAGAACUGUGAGAAAGCCUCCAUUAUUGUCUGCAAUAUUCUGGGGAACGCUGGUUUCAAAGCAUCAAAAGAAAAGCUCCAGUGGGUCAAGCAAAAGUCCUCGUACCUGGGUCACGUCAUAAUGCCAGGUCUUCGGAAAAAAAACCCUCCACAGAUCAGAUUGAACUGAUCCGGAAGAUGAAAUUCCCAUGAACUGUGUAACAGCUCCAAAGUUUUCUGGGGUUCAUAAACUUUUGUCGCUCAUGGAAACCUGAGUGUGCUGCCCAUGACAGACAUUUGCGGAGUAUGAUUGAUCACAAGGCAUCACCUGCAUCACUGAUAUGCUGGACUGAUAAAGCAGAGACUCAUUUCAUGGCACCGAAACAUGCCAUUACUACGGCCCCAGCUCUGGGCCAUCGAACUAUGCAAAGACUUUUCACCUGCAUGCGCGAGAGGCGAAGGGUGUGGCUCUGGGUAUCCUUUGGCAACAACAAGGUUGCACUUAUAGGCCAGUGGCAUAUCUGUUUAGAAAACUAGAUAAUGUAGUCACAGGUAUGCCUGAAAUGUCUUUAUACAGUGGCUGCUGAUGUUCUGUUUGUACAGGUGGCUGAGAGAACGAGGCUGUCACAGUCAAUGACUCUACACAUUAUAUCAAGUAGGUACAUUUUUACACAACACAGGACGGCACAGAGGCGAUCUGGGUAUGAGACACUGUUGGCAACCAAAAAUGUAUUGAUCCAGCCCACUUUUAACAUUAAUUCCACUUUGCUGGGAGUUUUGGGACUGGUAGACAUGACUGAGCACGAUCUAAAACAUAACUGCAUUUUGAAUUGACCACUUCCUGUUCCUCUAGGGCCGAUUAAAUGGACUCGCCCGUAGAUGGGGGGGUCAGAUCUAUAUGGAUGGCUCAUAUGCAAAGCCAUCGGACAGUGUCUACCUGUGUGGUUAUGCUGUGGUGUCAGAUACUGGUGAGGUUAUUGAAGCCUUUGCUCUAAAAUACAACUCAGCACAAGCUGCAGAAUUGAUAACUCUAAAAAUGUUUACUCUAAAUUUUGUAAAAACAUGGGAAGCCUGAGAUUUUAAGACAACAGAUGAAAACCCUACUCAUUCUUUUGCUCCCGGACAGAGUGUUUUAAUUAAGAGUCUGAAACCGACAAGGGUUGGAGAGCCAAACUACUACGGCCCAGCCAAGGUGAUUGCUAUCACCAGGACCGGGGUUCUGACUGAUCGUCAGCCGCAGUGGAUUCACGCCUCGAGGCUGAAACACCACUCUGCCAUGGAUCAGGACACCGGAGACAAACCCAAACAACAACUGCUAUUCAAGGAGAUCAACGGAGAACGAGUGAGAGAUCUUGCUGGAAGCUCAACUGCCAGAAGGAUUCGAACCGUGUACAGUGACCGAAGCUUUCAUCAUCUUCAGCGAGCACACUGUGAAAGCAUAGCAAAGAGUAUUGGAAGACAACGAAACCAUCACAACCGACCCUGCAAAAGCGAUUCGUAGAUCAUAUGCUGUGGUAUAUGUUUAUUUUGAAUGAUGAUGAUCUGAAAGUUUAAAGAAAAAUAAAUAGAUAAAUGGUUUCUUGAAAAA
Paramisgurnus dabryanus is the source of this 2888-nucleotide non-coding RNA. Lineage: Eukaryota; Metazoa; Chordata; Actinopteri; Cypriniformes; Cobitidae. The record is from RefSeq and is a predicted model, not a curated record.